GAACUGUAGAGUUUGAUCCUGGCUCAGAUUGAACGCUGGCGGAAUGCUUUACACAUGCAAGUCGAACGGCAGCACGGGGGCAACCCUGGUGGCGAGUGGCGAACGGGUGAGUAAUACAUCGGAACGUGCCCAGUCGUGGGGGAUAACGUAGCGAAAGCUACGCUAAUACCGCAUACGAUCUAUGGAUGAAAGCGGGGGACCGUAAGGCCUCGCGCGAUUGGAGCGGCCGAUGGCAGAUUAGGUAGUUGGUGGGGUAAAGGCUCACCAAGCCUACGAUCUGUAGCUGGUCUGAGAGGACGACCAGCCACACUGGGACUGAGACACGGCCCAGACUCCUACGGGAGGCAGCAGUGGGGAAUUUUGGACAAUGGGCGCAAGCCUGAUCCAGCCAUUCCGCGUGCAGGAUGAAGGCCCUCGGGUUGUAAACUGCUUUUGUACGGAACGAAAAGCCUUUUUCUAAUACAAGAAGGUCAUGACGGUACCGUAAGAAUAAGCACCGGCUAACUACGUGCCAGCAGCCGCGGUAAUACGUAGGGUGCAAGCGUUAAUCGGAAUUACUGGGCGUAAAGCGUGCGCAGGCGGUAAUGCAAGACAGAUGUGAAAUCCCCGGGCUCAACCUGGGAACUGCAUUUGUGACUGCAUUGCUGGAGUGCGGCAGAGGGGGAUGGAAUUCCGCGUGUAGCAGUGAAAUGCGUAGAUAUGCGGAGGAACACCGAUGGCGAAGGCAAUCCCCUGGGCCUGCACUGACGCUCAUGCACGAAAGCGUGGGGAGCAAACAGGAUUAGAUACCCU
This 792-nucleotide ribosomal RNA is filed under the name Burkholderiales bacterium. Its description in RNAcentral is "bacterial SSU rRNA". It matches the Rfam family "Bacterial small subunit ribosomal RNA", at positions 1 to 788 of the family's 1533-position model. Lineage: Bacteria; Pseudomonadati; Pseudomonadota; Betaproteobacteria; Burkholderiales. The record is from RNAcentral.